This 65-nucleotide transfer RNA is filed under the name Fasciolopsis buskii. RNAcentral's name for it is "Fasciolopsis buski tRNA-Ile". Lineage: Eukaryota; Metazoa; Platyhelminthes; Trematoda; Plagiorchiida; Fasciolidae. The record is from RNAcentral.
GCCGGUAGGGCUGCUUUAGCAGGUUGCUGUGAUAUAGCAAGGGUAAGAUUUUUUCUUCGUCGGUA